This 1026-nucleotide small RNA is filed under the name Drosophila pseudoobscura pseudoobscura. RNAcentral describes it as "GA32917". The record is from RNAcentral. Lineage: Eukaryota; Metazoa; Arthropoda; Insecta; Diptera; Drosophilidae.
CGGAUGUUUUUCCACCAAAUAAAACAAAGUUCUCUGUUAAGGUUAUGCCCAUGUUUCUUGCUCUCAUUGGUUAAGUUUUAUGGGGAUAGUUCGCAUCUGUUUGGAGCCACAUUUUCAUUCAAUAAAUCUUUGUAGAGGGUAAUCGUAUAGCAGUACGAUUGAAAUAUACCGUGCAUAAAUGUUUUCAAUGUUUUUCAGUUGUUCGAUUUCAGUUUUCAAUUUGGCAUUCAUUCUGUCAUGUCUCGGUGGAAUAAUUAUUCGCUUUUAAGGCAACAAUUUGCAAUGCAGCAAAUUUUUAUUAUUUUUAUUCGAUUUUUAUUUUUUCAUGGAAAUUAAGCAAUUAUGCAAUUGAAUGUUUGUUUGUUUGUUGGUUGCUUGCCCGCUGUUGUUGUUUGUUGUUGCCACUUGUUUGUUGUUUGGCUGUUCAACUGCCGCACAGUGGCGGCUAUCGAGGGGUGCACGGGGGCAGAUUUGUCCUGAGUUAUGAGUCGGAUUAGCCGUUGAAAUAUCGUUUAUGCAUGCAUAAUGAAAGUGGCUUUAUGGCCAUAAUACCCCCCGAGAGCUGGAGUUAACUUUUACAUGCCGCCAUGGCUGUGGCAGUGGCUGUGGCUGUGGCUGCUCUUGUUGGGCCUCCACAUUCCACAUUGGUUGAAAGUUUAUCGGGAUUUGCCGUGUUUCAGGGAUUUCAUGUAAACCAUACUUGAGGUGGAUUUCCGUGGGAUUCAAAUGCAAAAAAGGCUCGGCAAAUGAAACAGCUUUACACUACUCAAAAUUUGUUUAAACAGGCAUGGCAUUUCCUCGUUUGAUUUCAUUUUGAAGGUGACCCUUCUGAGAACCCUCACACUUCAUGGAAUACUUAUAAUGAAAAGGAGACUUGACUUUAAUUAUGUUUUGGUAGACAUUUCAUGCGUGAAAGAGCAUCGAGAGGAGGCACCUUCUUUCCAAGAACUUAAAUUCUAUUAAGAUUAAUCAUGAAUGAGUUGAUAAUGUAUUUUUAGAAUCAUGAAUGAAAUAAAAUCGUCAUUG